Molecule: long non-coding RNA, 7974 nt
Organism: Columba livia (rock pigeon)
Lineage: Eukaryota; Metazoa; Chordata; Aves; Columbiformes; Columbidae
Exons: 2
Source: RefSeq, a predicted model, not a curated record
CUCAAAAUGCUAUGAAUUUUUAACAGAGAACAGUUCAAGGGAAAGCAGUUGAUUUUCAAAUGAUAUUUCCGUUAAGUCAGAAAGUAAGAGUAGGAAUGGACACGGAUAUUUGUAUUUAUCUGGUCAAAUGUAGACAUCUCUCUUGUAGACCUUUGCCUCAGAGUUAGCUUUCCUCUAAGUUUUUUCGCAUGGUAGAGAGAGAGAGAUAGGUACCCCAGGGAAACAGUUCCCACUUCGACUAAGGUGGACUGUGCCCUGAAUGUGUUUAAUCUUUUUCCAGUGCUUACAGAAGACUUAGCUGAUCAGCAUAAAUUUAAGUGUUUGCACUGUAGAUGCCUAAAGACAGGUAAGAGGAUUCCCACCGGAAGUAUUUGUUGCAUCAUUGGAGCCAUAGAGAGAGAAGGUUGUCAUGGCAGUUACAACUAGGUUAGUUAAAAUGAUAAAGAACAAGCCAAUGCCAAAAUUAAUGAAAAACAUAGAUAGGAAACAAGACAGGUCUUUGAGAUGGGUUGAAGCAAGCUCACAGUAGAUUGAAAAACACAGUUCUGCUUUGAGUCUGUGGAUGGAAAUCAUAGUAAUUAACAGGAACUAGGAUAUUGCAUUUCUUUUGUGUGUAUACUUAACAUGGAGAAGCUUUUUGCAUGUGUUGGAGUGUUACUCUUUGGAGAAAGAAUAAGGAAGUAGCUUACGUUAGUCAAAGAGAGAGGAAGACUUGGAGAGAAGCCUCAGAGAAAAUAGAGUCAGGCCCACAGAGCUGUGUGUCAACAACUGUUAAGUGAAAACCAGGACAGGGAAAGAAAAGUUUAUUCACAUAAUCUCAGUCCUGUGGCAGACCACCAGGCAGUAUCAAGUGGCAGAGUUCCCUUAGUCUGUGUGCUGGGGUUGACAACUAACAACAAAUCUCCUGUGAUGCACAAUUAAGCAAAAAACAUUUGGUAGUCUAACUCGUUCAUUGUAGGGUGUGAAUUUUAGGCUGGUUUGCUAAAUAUAUGAUACUUCUGGAAUUGCACACAGUCUGUCCCACUGCAGUAAUUUUGAACCUCAUGGGCCAAUUUCAAUUACAUUUACAAAAAAGUGGAGGUCUUAAUGUUAUCUGAGUUCCUUUUAGUUUUGUAGUAAGUAGCAUGGUAGAAUACAUGGGUUCAGUUGGUGCCCCUGCUGUGACCAAGGCAGGCAGAACUUAGCUGUUAAAGACUUUUCCUGCAAAAAGCUGCCCAGUCUGCAUGCAUAAAAUGACCUACAGCUUCAGGCUUAAGUGCUACUUGCAGCACUGAGUUCUGUGCACAGUUGCAGAGCCAUGUCUGACCCCUGGGCAGCUGUUUUAUGGAGGUGAUGAGGGCCAAGUGGAAGUGGAUACCAAACCAUAGGAUACUAGGCUUUGAUAGUUUAAACCAAACAGUUGCAUCAGUUCAGCCUGUUAACUCAGGCACAGCCAUUAAUUUUAAGUCAUGCUGGUAGAUAUUAUUCUCCUUCCCCUGUAGAUAUUUUUCUGACUUAACAGCGACAGUUUCAAAUAGGAGAGCUGUUGGGCACCUUUUUGCACACACUCUGUAGAUGCCCAAACCACUAGAAUAAACAAAGCACAGUCUAAUACAUAUUAAUGGCUUGCCCAGCAUUUUUGAUUUCUUAGGCUUGUUAGUUCCAGUUCUGCAGUGUGAGAUAUUAGAAGAUGAAUUGGCUUUAACAAUCUGCUCCUGUAAACACAUUCAUCCAGAACAGAAGAUAACUACAUUUAAAGAGCAUUCUUUAAGGUAAUCCUUUCCAGGACUGUCUCAGAUAGUCCUUUGAAUAGUGCUGAGAUCAGUGGCAAUGAAGGUGAUUAUGCUGGAGAAAGAUGCACUGAAACUGGUGUUCUGGUGUGCACCUAAGUAACAAGAUUCUGCAGGGCAGGAGUCAGCCCACCAGAGGCCAUGCAUCUGUAUUGGAAGAACAACUUUUGUCAUUUAUUGAUAACUUCUUAAACACCCAUCACUGAAUGUGUAAAAAGUACUGAGUAGGUAGGAGCAAUGUAGUAAAUGGCAAGAAGUAAUGACAGAUGGAAAAAGUUUAGCUGAAGUUCCUAAUUGAAAACUUUAAAGAAAUGUCUAAGGAGAUGAAGAAAGUCAAAUAAGAUAUGCUGGUGAUCAUUGUGAAGAAUCGCUUUUCCCUUUCUGGUCCCCUAAUGCUAUUACUAUAGGGAACAUGCAGUGGUUUCCAUGUGAACAACUUAAUCUGGUUCAUAUUAUGAGAGUAAAAUUAGUAAUCUUUUUUUAACUUCAGAAUUUGGGCUGUAUUUGGAUAAUGUGCAUUUUGUUAAUGUUGUUCAUUUAUCUAAUAAAUGAGAAACAUGAUUUUGUAUUGGUAUCACAACUUUGAUUAAACAUAUUUUAAGCAUAUUUUAAGUUAUUAUAAUAUGCCAUUAACAUUCUCGAGAGGAAUAUUCACUGCCUACGUUUAAACAUCUAACUUAGAUGCCUAAAUUAGGAGGCUUGUCUCCCUAGAUGCCUUGCAUAGUUGAAGGAGUGAGAGAGGCUCCUCCAGAGAGCAAUUCAGACUACGUUAGUUAGGCCUCUGCUCUGAAUUAUCAUCUGGAGGAGCCUCUUCGACUCUGAAUGCUGUUCUGUGCUAUUCUUUGCAUCUUUUCCUUGCCAACAGAACUGCCUUCGCUGAUCUCCACCCCUCAACACUUGUUCUUGUAUAUCCCUCUGUCACUUGGGCUAGUACAGCUGUUGAUGUGGUGGCACUGUCAACCUGGUUGGUGAAAUCAUCAGGGUUAAAAGGAUUCCUGGGAAAGAAGGUGUUUUAACCUAGAUCAUGUCUCUGAUUCGGUUUAUCGCGUGACCUUGUAAACAGCUAAACCUGCACACCCGAGGAAGUGAUGAGCUUUAGCAAGAGACAGAAAUGAGUUGUUAAACUUGGGGGCCUGUUUGCCAAGUAUACCACCAAGAAAAAAUUAUAUCGAGCUUCUGGAUGUAAGCUCAGAAGAUUGAGUCUUAUAUCUAAGCAUUGUUCUGUUCAAGUACAUUAUAUUCCUACCGUUACCAUUGCAUUCAUUCAUACAAUUACAGUUACACAAAUAUCAUGGAGGUUUAUUAUGGUUUGUGUCACUGCAAGAAAGAGAGAAUCUCACAGAAUCACAGAAUGUCAGGGAUUGGAAGGGACCUUGAAAGAUCAUCUAAUCCAAUCCCCCUGCUGGAGCAGGAACACCCAGAUGAGGUUACACAGAAAGGCGUCCAGGCGGGUUUUGAAUGUCACCAGAGUAGGAGAUAUCUAGCUUUAUAUUUCUGUUAUCCAUGUAAAAACUGUUAAAAUUUACACAAAAUAUCUUAUAGGAUUUACAAAUGUACCAUGAAAAGGUAUUCUAGAUUUUAUAAAUACUCCUAAAAGCAUGGCGUUGCCACUAACUUAGAGCAAAUGCAAUAAUGGUUGAGUAGCUUAAGAAGUUCCCCAUCAAGAGCUGCUUAUGUUUUGGCAGAUACACUGGAUGCAAUUUACCCAAUGUGAAUGGUCGACAGUGUGGACAUCUGCACGUGAGCUAGUUGCCUUAGAUUCUUUUCAAAAUCAAUGGAAAAACUGGCAUUUUAGAUGGUGCUUCGUAUGAACUGUGUGAGAUAUUCAUAUUAGAUAUGAAAUAUCUGCAUUUGGCCAGCUGAAUCCCACCCACAGGCUGCACGGCUGCUCCUUGUACAUAGAUAAAUGCAGGCUACAACAAGCUACGUUUAGUUGCCUUGUGUGUGAACCUCUAAAACCACAUGGGCUCAACUGCAAACCUAUUAUGGACUAAAACUUCAUUUCCUGAUUAUUAAAAGUCAUUCCAGUUUAGAGUGAUUUGGUGCCACUAGUGACUGACACUGGGACACUUUUCCAGCCUCUGGCAGUUAAGAUAGUUUAUGUUGUUACAGAAUUAAUUACCCUGUUUUAAAACAGUAUUCUUUUAAGACAAGCGUGUAUUAGGAAUGCUGGCCAGAAACCCAAUGAGGUGAGAAAUCAGUUAAUAAUUUUUUAUAGUUACUAAUUUUUACACAGCAUCUUGUGCUGCAUUUUAAAGUUCAGUAGUCAUCAAGUAGCCUUCUCAAUAACCUGUAAAGAGAUUGUGUAAUUAUAUUUAUUUGUGACCUUCCAUAGUUCGACCUGGCUAAUUGCUUCUUUUAGCUGAAGUACGCACUUCUUUCUGGUUCUUCUUCAUGAAAGUAAGAAUUAAAACAUUACUAAAGAAUCGAGUAAGGAUGAAGCUAAAAUCCACAAGGAAGCAUAGCUGGAGCUAAACUUCUAUAUGCUAAGGUGGAGCUAAACCUAUAUAUGCUGUUGUCUUCUUAUAUUGUAUGCGUUUCCUCAUUCAAAUAGUUUUUCAUAUCACCUUAAAAAAAGGGGGAGAGAGGGGAAGUGUUCUGUUUAAUUUUCGUGCUUGAUACAUUUUUAAAUGUAAUGAAGUUACAAAAUGAGCCCGUUGUGAUUUAACCCCAGCGAGCAACUAAGCAUCACACAGCUGCUCACCCCCUACCCAGUGGGAUGGGGGGAGAAUGAGAAGGGUGAAAGGGAGAAAACUUCUGGUUUGAGAUAACGAUAAUUUAACAAGUAAAGCAAAAGCCACCCUCACAAGCAAAGCAAAACAAGGGAUUAAUUCACUCCUUCCCAUGGGCAGGCAGGUGUUCAGCCAUCUCCAGGACAGCCGGGCUCCAUUGUGUCUAAUGGUUACUUGGGAAGACAGACACCAUCUCACAGAACAUCCUCCCCUUCCUCCUUCUUCCCUCAGCUUUAUAUGCUGAGUAUGACAUCGUAUGGUAUCGAAUAUCCCUUUGGUUAGUUGGGGUCAGCUGUCCCUGCUGUGUCCUCUCCCAACUUCUUGUGCACCCCAGCCCACUCGCUGAUGGGUUGGUGUGAGAAGCAGAAGAGGCCUUGACUCUGUGUAAGGCUGCUCAGCAGUAACUGAAACAUCCCUGUGUUAUCAACCAUUUUAAUCACAAAUCCAAAACGUAGCCCUGUACAAGCUCCUAUGAAGAAAUUUAACUCUAUCCCAGCCAAAACCAGUAUAGAGCCUUAACACUUCACAUCCUUUCACAGUGGAGAAAUGCAUGUAUGAUUAGGUACUUGUGCAUAAGCAGAUGUAAGAUUGGGGUUUCCAUAACUACAGGUUACAAAAUAAGAACAAAGUUUGUUUUAAAAAAUGGUUGCAAAAGCACAGUAGAAUAAUAUUCUACAGUUUUCUAAAGAUGGGGAAGGUGAUCCUGUGCUGUUUCUCCUGUUCACCUUUGUCGUUUGUAUUCUGGGUUUCUGUUUUGAUGAGGUACCAAAAAAGUCCUCCUCCUACUGAGACAGUCCUUGGGACCUUUCUGCAUCCUGCAAGCAGCCUCCAGCACCACUGUUCUGUGCAGUGCUGGCUGAUGUGGGCGCACUCCCUUUGCCAUGAUGUGCAAGUGGCUCCAAAGCGUGUGUCCACACAAAAGAGGGAGCAAUGUCCCAUCCCCAGGCUCAGUGGUGGGUGCUGGCUCAGCCCCAGCUGCUCAGGGCCCUUACAGACUGCUCUGCCCUCGCCAUGUAGCCCUGUACCCUGCAUCUCAUAAGUGCAUCUUGUGGUGUCCCCCCUCUGCACUUCCAAGAGUGCUGAGCCUGUUAGGAAUAGUGUUGAAAGACUAACAUGGGUCUGAGGGAGACAAAUACAAUGUUUGUGGCUUUACUGCCAUUUGGGGGGAAUCUCAAGAGUGAGCUAGUCAAGAUCUGUGCCUUAUCUUGAAUGCGUGAUUUGUACCUAAACAGGCCCCCAUGGAGAGAGCUAACAAUGAAGCAGCGGUGACGACUGGGUGCUCAGGCUUGUUCCCUUGACCUCAGUGUAGGACAUAGUGUAGACACGACUUAAGUUCCCAGUUUUAGUCCUGUGGUGGGAUGGACACAAUGUAAGCACAUAAUCAUACAGAUGAUUUGAGUACUUAUAUUAAUCAUAGGCAGACUUUGAAAACGCAAGUGAUUGUUACCACGUAUCAGAAGCACCUCAGCAUUUCAUACAAACUCCUAUAAUAAAGCCGCUUACAUUCCUAGUUAGUAGCUCUACCUGUGACUCAGAAGAGCUUUGGCUGGCUCUUAGAUCUAAAAAUAAAAUUCUCCUUCCUGAGAUACCAUACAUUUCGAUGAUAUUCUCAGUGGGAAUGGCAUGCAAAAGUAGAAUAGAUUAUAUUAAUUGUUGUGUAGAAGCUUUCCACCCCUUGCAUAGGAAAGCUUCAUUGCACCAUAUGGAAUCAAAGUAUAAUGUGAUAAAAUUACUAAUACAGGACAAUAAAUAACAUUAUGAUUAUGUGUUAUGGGUGCCACCUCAUACGUGCACAAAUAAUUAUAGUUCAAAUGAAUAAUGGAGAUUUGAGUGUUAUAUCUAGGAAUGUAUUAGAAAGGACACAAUUUGUCACCAAGGAUGGGAAUUGUCUCAUCUGACUUUACGGAUUCAAUAAGGGGGUGUCCAAACCAAACCAGUCAUCUGUGACUGUAUCUGUGAUCAGUGGAGAGGAACAGGCACUUCAGAAGAUAAAUGGCCGCUCUGGUCUUAGACAAAUAUUUUCAGAGGAAUGCAUCUCAGAAGCUCAAACAAACAGCAAGUCUUCAACAGCAUCUUCCAGGGGGACCAAAAAAGGCAGACAUGUGGCGCGAAGUCUUCAUCCCACUGACAUCAGUGGCAAAAUUCCCAUUGAUCUGAAUAAGGCUGAAAUUGCGUCCUAGCUUUUCUAGCUGCUGCCUGCCAAAAUCGACUUCAGACCUGCGCAUCCUUCCUCUCUUGUGCGUCACCAUUAGUAACAGAGGUUCUGCGGUCCACGCCGUGUCUGCCAUGACGUUCUCGAGAAGCGAUCAAGACAAAUGUAAAUGAGGAAUGAGAGACCCCGGCAACAGGAGGGGUCUCUGCGCAGGGAGCGCACGGUGUGUGGUUAACAGUCCCCGCACAGUUGCUGCAGACAGAUCCCUCUGCCUGUUGUGCACGCACGCUGCUGACGGAAGCAGCCGUAUGAAGAGCUCUUUGAAUCGGCUCGUCGUGACGUGGACGUGUCCCAUCCUCGCUCACCAGCGUCCCGGGCGGCAGGUGUGCUGCCAGCACCACCGCAAAGGCUGGGUCAGGUCUCUGCUGUCACGUCUGGCCUUUUCCAAUUGAAGUACAGUCUAACUGAGAAAAUCUGGAGUUCUCUUCCAGCUUCACUUUUUGCCUCAUUGAGACUGUGGAUUUGGGCACGCAGCACCAAAUGCAUCCAAAGCAAGCGUUGUCUUAAGGAAUUAGAGUCUCAAAAAACGAUUGAUAAGUCUUUCUAAUAUAAUGUCUGUGGAGUGUGUGCUAUCAUCAGAAGCCAUACAACAGAAAUACAAGCGCUUUGAAAUACAGAUUAAAACAAGGAACAUGAAGGGAGAAAAUGCCUGUGUAUGAGGUACAAAUGUCUUCUUCUGCUAUUGAUGAUGUCUGAACAUGGUCCUGGUGAGGAAAAGGAUUUGUUCAUUCUCACUCCCUGCAUUGUCUAUUUGUCCCUUGCUGGCAGGGUCUUCUCAAGCUUGAGGGAGGUGCGGCCAGCUGGUCUUAGUAUGUUCUUGAUGUUUUUCUAGCAAAAUGCUCCCUGAAUCCUCUGGCUAUUAUGCUAGACUGAGAACAAAAGGCUCUUGCUCAUCUGGCAUUUAUCUGCAGACUUUCCUCUUCCAUAGGUAUUUCAGGUUAUGGAUAAGCUAGAGGAAAGAAGAGAGUUUUUCAUGCCACCAGUUUCAAUUUGAAGCUAAAGAACACCAAAGAGCCAAGGUCUGAGAGUAACUCCUAGGCUCACAGAAACAUUCUCAUGUCUUUUUGGCUGAAUUAGAUAUUGGUCUUUCUAUUACAUCUUCUAUUGUGAGCUGCUUGCAAAUCUUUAUAUCUGAUCAUUCUCUCAUCAUGUUGGAAAACAAUAAGUGGGAGUUUCUUUCCAUACUAGAUCUUUGUGGGUUACUUGCUAGUAAACUAAUUUUACAUGACUCAGAUUUAAAUAAUAAAAAGGCUUAACUCCA